This 515-nucleotide unclassified non-coding RNA is filed under the name Hevea brasiliensis (rubber tree). Lineage: Eukaryota; Viridiplantae; Streptophyta; Magnoliopsida; Malpighiales; Euphorbiaceae. The record is from RNAcentral.
AAAGAUAGAAAGAAACACUAACUAAAAAUAUAAUGGCCACGAAUCUUUUCAAAAAAGAUAGGAAGAACAAUUAACUAAAAUUGAUAAUUGUAAAGAGUUUUUCAAGGGAAAAAAAGGUUAAGUCAGAACAUAAUAAUUAUGAAUCCAAUAAGCAGUUUGUAUCUUAAGAGCUCCGGUACUUACUCCCUUAGACAUCGUCUGACCAGAUAAAAGAUGUGAAAAAACGGAGACUGCUCGAAGUUGAGGCUAAAGAUCUAGGAAUUCCCUAAAAGGCGGUCCUUUAUACAAUUUUUAUAUGAACGCCUAUCGCCUAUUGUGAGGAAAUAAAAAGAACGAAUUCCAGAGUACUAUAAACGUGUGUGAAAUCAAACAAAUAAACGUGUGAAAACUAAUUAUGCAUGGAAAAUUAAUAAUAAUUAAAUAAAUCAACUAAAUAAUAAAACCACCGGAAUUAUCUGUCACCUACGAAAUAAGAAGCUUCCAUGUUAAAAUGAAGCAAUGACAAAGGAAAAAAA